Molecule: ribosomal RNA, 305 nt
Filed under: uncultured fungus
Lineage: Eukaryota; Fungi
Description: eukaryotic LSU rRNA
Rfam family: 5.8S ribosomal RNA (bases 1-71)
Source: RNAcentral
GUGAAUCAUCGAAUCUUUGAACGCACCUUGCGCUCCUUGGUAUUCCGAGGAGCACGCCUGUUUGAGUGUCAUGAAAUUCUCAACCUACAAAGCUUUGUGUUUUGUUAGGCUUGGACUUGGAGGCUUGCUGGCUCUUGUCAGCUUCUCUUAAAUUCAUUAGCUUGAUUCCUUGUGGAUCGGCCUCGGUGUGAUAAUUGUCUACGCUGUGACCGUGAAACAUAUGGUGAGCUUCUAAUGGUCUUGUUGAAAGACAUCUUUUAUUGACGUCUGACCUCAAAUCAGGUGGGACUACCCGCUGAACUUAA